AUUGCCGCAUGCGCAAUACACCAAUUGCCAUGGUAACUGAUGCGCGAGUUGAUGUCAUGAUGUCAGCGUUUUCAUAAAGCUCCGUUUUUCUUGUGCACACGAAGACAGAGGAACCAGAGUUUUGAAAAAUCUCCACCUUGGAAGGCGUUUUCAAAAAGCUUUGUUUUCAGUGACCUAAAACGCCGUUUUCGUGUGGACGGGAGGCGAUUUCAUUAUUGGGAGAAGUUUGUUCCAUCUUUCCACAAUCUCCGGUGGAUAGUGCUCAUUCACCGAGUAAGGCUUGUCUUUUAGUUCGCGUCCUCUGUCUAGGAUUGCAAUCUUAACCUUAAAGUUAGAAAAUUUUGCCACAAUCAGGCGAGGUCUGUUGGCAUCCUGCUCUUUGAGUCCCAUCCGAUGCACUCAUUCAAAUGCCAUUUCUUCGGCGGAGACAAGAUUGUCCCGCAUGCUCCUACAUCAGAGGACUGACAUGAUACGGUCUGCUUCUGUAAAUUCGUCGGUGUUUGAUCCUUCUAUUUCACUGGAGACGCAACGAGAAAGAACCCUGUGUCAAGGGCCGCCAGUGAGAAAGAAGUAGAGGGCUACACAAUUCGCUGGCUGAAUUACUCAAGCGACCGAGGAGAUGGACGAAGGAAUAGGAAUAGGGAGUUUAGGCGUAACCAGAAUUAAACCAUAUUAAUCAACUUAUUUCUUUUUAGAUUUGUUGUUAAAUAUUAACCAGCAGAUAUAAUAAACAUUAUUAUUGUUAUUGCAUUUUUGUUAUUGUCAUUAUUGGUAUUAUAGUUUUUCUUAUUAACAAUACACAAAUAAAUUUCUUCACUCUUACUCUUGACUGACAGUUAAGAUAUAAGCAGCAUCGCUUUCCCCCGAUGUUAAGUGCAAGCAGUGUGAAAUCGGAUAGUCUACUUAAGCUAGUAAACCUACAUAAAAUCUUAGUGAGAUAUUUAAAUCAAUCAUCAAUGGCAUCUGCAUAUAAAGAGAUGCCAUUGACAACCUUAGACAGUUUUUUAAAUGUUUAAAUGUGCCCAGCAUUCCAAGGCUUGUUGUAAGAUUCAGUAGCCAAUCAGGACUUGAAUACAAGUUUUUUGUAG
Long non-coding RNA from Anguilla anguilla (European eel), 1088 nucleotides. RefSeq lists it as uncharacterized. Lineage: Eukaryota; Metazoa; Chordata; Actinopteri; Anguilliformes; Anguillidae. The transcript is spliced from 3 exons. The record is from RefSeq and is a predicted model, not a curated record.